RNAcentral lists this ribosomal RNA (497 nucleotides) under uncultured bacterium. RNAcentral describes it as "partial 16S ribosomal RNA". It matches the Rfam family "Bacterial small subunit ribosomal RNA", at positions 28 to 507 of the family's 1533-position model. The record is from RNAcentral.
GAUGAACGCUGGCGGCGUGCCUAAUACAUGCAAGUCGAGCGAACAGACGAGGAGCUUGCUCCUCUGACGUUAGCGGCGGACGGGUGAGUAACACGUGGAUAACCUACCUAUAAUACUGGGAUAACUUCGGGAAACCGGAGCUAAUACCGGAUAAUAUAUUGAACCGCAUGGUUCAAUAGUGAAAGACGGUUUUGCUGUCACUUAUAGAUGGAUCCGCGCCGCAUUAGCUAGUUGGUAAGGUAACGGCUUACCAAGGCAACGAGGCGUAGCCGACCUGAGAGGGUGAUAGGCGACCCUGGAACUGGGACACGGUCCAGAGUACUGAGGGAGGCAGCAGUAGGGAAUCUUCCGCAAUGGGCGAAAGCAUGACGGAGCGACCGGGAGUCAGAGAUGAAGGUCUUCGGAUCGUAAUACUCUGUUACUAGGGAAGAACAAAUGUGUAAGUAACUAUGCACGUAUUGACGGUACCUAGUAAGAAAGCCACGGCUAACUACGUG